Molecule: long non-coding RNA, 143 nt
Organism: Oxyura jamaicensis (ruddy duck)
Lineage: Eukaryota; Metazoa; Chordata; Aves; Anseriformes; Anatidae
Exons: 3
Source: RefSeq, a predicted model, not a curated record
GGGUCAUGAAGCUGCCCAACAUCUACUGUGGAGUGCUGGGACUGGUGAGGUGAGGUAGCCUAGACAAAGUCAAAGCAGAGGUGUGUAUUUUGCAUUCUUUGCAGAAGCAGCCACAUAAACUUCUUUGACAAGACUGGAGCAAU